RNAcentral lists this long non-coding RNA (504 nucleotides) under Chrysemys picta bellii (western painted turtle). RNAcentral's name for it is "lncRNA (ENSCPBG00000019862.1)". The record is from RNAcentral. Lineage: Eukaryota; Metazoa; Chordata; Testudines; Emydidae.
AUUUGAUUAUUUUGCCCUUCAGUUCUGAGUUUGUGCACCAAGCACUUGAUCCAAACUCUGUUGAAGUUAAUGGAAGACUGCAGUUAAUUUCAAUUGGCUUUGAAUCAGGCUCCGCAGGAAUAUCAGAUUCAUUUUUCAUGAACUGGCAGGGCAUGUACUUAUAGAGACACUGUCAUAGUUAACCGGCUCACAACUGAACCAACUGUGACUCGUCCUCAGUGCCCAUCCAGUGUGCCUUAAACCCUGUUCUGGAGGAACCACUUCUAGAAACAAGAGACUAGUUCAUUGAGACGUGUCCAUUCCAAGAUUGGCCUCUCUGCUAAGACUGUCAAUAAGAGCAAAUUGCAAUGGAAGAUUUUAUUGAUGUGGCAAUGGACUAGCACCACGGAUUUACUUAACACUAGAUGCUAAACAGUCAUCAGAUGGCAAUGACUUGCAGUCGCUACUGACCUGGCCAGAUUUGAAUAGGUAAAAUAAAGAUGAAAACGCUGGAAUGUUUUAUCA